CCGAAUCAACAGCGCAUCCGCUGGUUACAUUAAAGUACUUGUCAUGUCUUUGGGUCAAAUACAUUAAUAAUUCAUAAGUUGCAUAAGUUAGUUAAAAUGAAAGUAAUAAAUAGCUAAAAGUUCUAAUAAAUAUUGUUAAAAACGCUAAGGCUAAAAAGUUUUACAGAGUGAGACAUCUUCGCUAGAAAGUAUCGUUAUAGGCCACGAGAGAGUGCUCUCGCUUAUAGACAAGCUUUGUCGUUUUUCUCUGAGUGAAAAGCAGGCUGGCUUCAUGGCAGAAACGAAACGGAAACCUCAUAAACAUGCGGAAAGUUGCUCUAAACGCUUGUUACUUGGAAAAUUAUCAUCUUUAAACAAGCAUGGUGGAGGACAAACACUGAUAGCUUCAACAGGACGUUGACAACAAGCUGAAUCAGCUCCUCAUCAAAAAGCCCAAAAUGAUCCAUUAUACUGACAAGGUCAAAUCUGAAUCUGCUGGAUGCAAAGUCACAGGCUAACAAGUCAUCUCGAAGUACAACACACACACGUCAACAUGACUGACAGCCAUCAAAGUGAAGCGGAGCAAUGAGAAGACAGAUGAGCGCCACUUGAGAAAACGACAAGAUUUACGGUAAUGGAGAGAAGAGCAGGAUUGUCAAUCAACACAAGUGAUGACGACUCUCUGCGGGUUGAGAUAUAUAUUUUUUUUGUUUAUUUUGAACAAGUCAUGCACACCUUUAUUUCGUCAUGUUUCAACUACAUUAUAAAAUAUAUUAUAUCAACUAUAUUAUAAUUCAUAAUGCCACCUACAGAGAACAUACUAACUCCUUAUUUCUAAAAUCACAAAUACUUAAACUUGCUGAUAUAGUUCAUCUUCAAACAGCUAAAAUAAUGCAUAAGGCUAAAAAUAACCAAUUACCUAAAAAUGUCAUCAAUACUUCUCUACAAGAGAGGAGAAAUAUGAUCUCAGGGAAGAACUACAUUUGAAACACUUAUAUGCUAGGACUACGUUAAAAAGCCAUAGCAUUUCAGUAUGUGGAAUCAAACAAUGCACAACGAUGAGCCAAUUCAAGAAACAAUCCAAGCAGUUGAUGUUUGCUAAAUACAAGGAUGAAGAGUCUUGAACCAGUCAUGAUGUGCUAUACAUAUCACUAUAUUGACACUUACUAUGGUAACCAUUAUGUCAUUGUAUGGUCAUAUCACCAUGUACUUUGGUACAAGGUG
This is a non-coding RNA of Doryrhamphus excisus (bluestripe pipefish), 1203 nucleotides long. The record is from RefSeq and is a predicted model, not a curated record. NCBI's taxonomy places the organism in Eukaryota, Metazoa, Chordata, Actinopteri, Syngnathiformes, Syngnathidae.